RNAcentral lists this long non-coding RNA (1416 nucleotides) under Medicago truncatula (barrel medic). RNAcentral's name for it is "lncRNA gene2948". The record is from RNAcentral. Lineage: Eukaryota; Viridiplantae; Streptophyta; Magnoliopsida; Fabales; Fabaceae.
UAUAUUUAUAACUAACAUAUAAUAUUUUUCAUAUUAAUGGUUAUGUGACACCCUAAAUCUAAAUUUAAGAUGAGGAAAUCAAUAGUUUUUGGUAACAUUUGUAAGAAGUAUAAGAUUUAAAAUAAUUCUCAAAAAAAAUAAAUAUGUCAAGACACUUAUUCCAUCAAAACAAUAAUUUUGAUAAAAUUAUUGUUUUUCAACUAGAUAUCACCUAUCAAUAAAUCAAGGCACUUAUUCCGAAAUAGAACCUUAUUAGUACAAAUUAAAAUGGAUAAACAUCCUUGAUAGUCACCAACACACUGACUUCCUCUGAAAGUUGUUUAAGGUUGCUAAUGUGACAAACUCCUAACACAAAUCACGAAGGUGAGUAAUCAAAUCAUGUUAAUUUAUAUUAGCAGUCGGUAAAUAAUUUACAAGGUAUUUAUAUAUUCAAAUAUGAUAACUAAAUAAAAAUAUUGCAAAUUUAAAUGAUUCACUAUAGUUUAAACAUAUACAUAAUAUCAAUUGUGGUUAAGGAGUCAAAAACUUAUUGUUAAUUAAAGUAAUAUAUCUACUCAUUCAUGUUCAUCAUCAAGUCAUUAAUGUGGUCACUGCUAAUAGCUACACAUAUGAGUUCAUACUCUAAUUUAUUUAUUUUUAAUAAUAAUAAUAAUAAUAAUAAUAAUAAUAAUAAUAUCUUUGGAUUACACAUAAUUUUCACGUUGAUUUCAAGCGAAACAGACUUCUAAUGACGAAGAUGGCAACAAAAUAAUGAAACUAAUCAAUGGAAGUGUUGGUGUUUUAAGAGAAUAGAUGGAAGGGUUAUAAAAUUAAAAUUUAUACUUGAAUUGCUAAAUCAAUCAUAGGAAUAUUUUUUUAAAAACUCGGUAUAUGUUCCAAGGACCGAGUAACCCGAAGAGAUCAGUCCCACUGUCCAUUUGCAGGAGCCCCGUUUAAAGCUAGAGCAAAGCUCCGUAUGGACUUACCCCGAUAUCAUCAAGAUUGAGUUCUGCAUCUUGUUUCAACUACCUUGUUGUGUUAAUUCUCUACCUACCUUUUAUUCUCUAUUAACACUAUUGCUUUCUUUAAUAUUCGGGAUUAACUGAAUUUAUUUUCUCAAAAUACAAAAACUUUAUCAAUAAUAACUUCUAAAAAAGUAUUCAAAUAGACUAACCUGCAUAUACAAAUAUUACUAAUACACCUCACAAAUGUAUUAGGGGGACACCUAAAGAAGUCUGGACAAUCACCAGCGACGGUGCACUUUAUAUCUGCAAAGUAAAAUAACAAUAAAUCAAUUUCAUCAAAAGGUAAUGAAAGAUUGUGUAUAAUAUAAAGAACAAAAUGCAAAACCACAUACCAUUACUGGUUACAACAAGAAUUAGAGAAAGAAAUAUCAUCAAUGCAUAAAAAGACUUGGAAAUUUGGUCCAUAUUUUUC